This 1272-nucleotide small RNA is filed under the name Pongo abelii (Sumatran orangutan). RNAcentral's name for it is "retained intron". Lineage: Eukaryota; Metazoa; Chordata; Mammalia; Primates; Hominidae. The record is from RNAcentral.
AUUUUUGGCGUGGGAACGCGGGGAGUACGGCGGUGAGAAAGGCUGAAGCUGCCAGCGCCGCUGACGGGCCCCUUCCUGUAUUUUACACCUUUCGCGAAUUCCGCUCCUUUGGAAAGGGAAUAAUGGCUUUGGGAUGUUGUUCUGACACAGAGGAAAAGGAUAUUUCAGCAGCACAACAAUUCUCACUUUGAAAAGGAAAAAAGAAAACCAUUACCCACCUCUGGAGGCAGAACCCCUGAAUGGGCACCAAAGGACCCCCUGCUCCCAGGGUCCUCUCUAGCCUGGGGAGCUUUUCUUUCUUUUUCUCUUUUUCCAUUUUGACCUCUUUUCCUCUUUCCCCUCCCUAUCUGCCUCCAAGACCCUGGGAUAUCUUAACAUCCUUCUAUUGUCCCCUUUUUGAAUACUAUCAGGCCCCUUGCACAUGCACACACAUAGGGCAGCUACGGAGUGGUGCUUUGGGUCCCUCUGGCCUGUUCUUGCUGGCAGGUUGGGUUCAUCUGGAUAACUGGGCUGAUUUGUUGGCUGAUCACCAUCAUCACAGCCAAGAAGGACAUUGGCCAGCCAUCCCUGGCACCCUUGGGGACUGGCGACCCUUCCCUGACCCGACCCUCUGCCCCCUCAGAGGCCUUGCCACCAGAUGCACUCAUCAGCAAGAUCGCCAUCCAGGGCUCCCUAGCUGUGGGUCAGAACUGGUUAUUGGAUGAGCAAACCAGCACCCUCACAAGGCUGCGCUACUCUUACCGGGUCAUCUGCAGUGACAACUACUAUGGAGACAACUGCUCCCGCCUGUGCAAGAAGCGCAAUGACCACUUCGGCCACUAUGUGUGCCAGCCAGAUGGCAACUUGUCCUGCCUGCCCGGUUGGACUGGGGAAUACUGCCAACAACCUAUCUGUCUUUCGGGCUGUCAUGAACAGAAUGGCUACUGCAGCAAGCCAGCAGAGUGCCUCUGCCGCCCAGGCUGGCAGGGCCGGCUGUGUAACGAAUGCAUCCCCCACAAUGGCUGUCGCCACGGCACCUGCAGCACUCCCUGGCAAUGUACUUGUGAUGAGGGCUGGGGAGGCCUGUUUUGUGACCAAGAUCUCAACUACUGCACCCACCACUCCCCAUGCAAGAAUGGGGCAACGUGCUCCAACAGUGGGCAGCGAAGCUACACCUGCACCUGUCGCCCAGGCUACACUGGUGUGGACUGUGAGCUGGAGCUCAGUGAGUGUGACAGCAACCCCUGUCGCAAUGGAGGCAGCUGUAAGGACCAGGAGGAUGGCUACCACUGC